RNAcentral lists this long non-coding RNA (441 nucleotides) under Bos taurus (domestic cattle). Its description in RNAcentral is "long non-coding RNA NONBTAT022035". Lineage: Eukaryota; Metazoa; Chordata; Mammalia; Artiodactyla; Bovidae. The record is from RNAcentral.
AUAAGGAUUAAACAUAAUUUAAGAGAAAUUUGCCUUGAAAAAAUGUAUAUCUCUAGGCUAACAUUCAUAUUCCUUGUGAAUGCAGGAACAUUGCUUCAGAUUAUUCUCUUUUAAGAUAUUUUAAAAUAGGUGUGGUUGACUACCUUCUAGUUACACAGAUAGAGAAGAAGAGAGUUACUAAUGUGAGGAAAUUUUAGGAAUUACUCUGACGAGGCUAAUUUUCAGAUGCAGCUUUGCCAAAAUUUGCAUCUCAAAGUUUGCUAUUCCUAGACCACAUUCUGCUUAUUAAUUAAUUUUAGCCUUGAGCCAUCAAAAAGGAAAUCAGACUUAUUUUUAUUCCAUUUUAAUACACUUUCUUCUUAUGAAAGUAACACAAGGCUAUUUUGAGAAAUUAGAAAGUAAAAUCUUGAAGGACAAAGCAUUAAUAAUCCAUAAUCUGUC